UCGAUACGGGUUGACUUGAGGAAGGUAGGGGAGAAUGGAAUUCCUGGUGGAGCGGCGGAAUGCGCAGAUAUCAGGAGGAACACCAGUGGCGAAGGCGGUUCUCUGGGCCUUUCCUGACGCUGAGGAGCGAAAGCGUGGGGAGCGAACAGGCUUAGAUACCCUGGUAGUCCACGCUGUAAACGGUGGGUACUAGGUGUGGGGUCCUUCCAGGGUUCCGUGCCGUAGCUAACGCUUUAAGUACCCCGCCUGGGGAGUACGGCCGCAAGGCUAAAACUCAAAGGAAUUGACGGGGCCCCGCACAAGCGGCGGAGCAUGCGGAUUAAUUCGAUGCAACGCGUAGAACCUUACCUGGGUUUGACAUGAUCGGGAGUGCUCAGAGAUGGGUGUGCCUCUUUUGGGGUCGGUUCACAGGUGGUGCAUGGCUGUCGUCAGCUCGUGUCGUGAGAUGUUGGGUUAAGUCCCGCAACGAGCGCAACCCUUGUUCACUGUUGCCAGCACGUUAUGGUGGGGACUCAGUGGAGACCGCCGGGGUCAACUCGGAGGAAGGUGGGGAUGACGUCAAGUCAUCAUGCCCCUUAUGUCCAGGGCUUCACGCAUGCUACAAUGGCUGGUACAGAGAGUGGCGAGCCUGUGAGGGUGAGCGAAUCUCGGAAAGCCGGUCUCAGUUCGGAUUGGGGUCUGCAACUCGACCUCAUGAAGUCGGAGUCGCUAGUAAUCGCAGAUCAGCACGCUGCGGUGAAUACGUUCCCGGGGCUCA
Molecule: ribosomal RNA, 757 nt
Filed under: uncultured Propionibacterium sp.
Lineage: Bacteria; Bacillati; Actinomycetota; Actinomycetes; Propionibacteriales; Propionibacteriaceae
Description: bacterial SSU rRNA
Rfam family: Bacterial small subunit ribosomal RNA
Source: RNAcentral